RNAcentral lists this ribosomal RNA (444 nucleotides) under uncultured bacterium. RNAcentral's name for it is "partial 16S ribosomal RNA". It matches the Rfam family "Bacterial small subunit ribosomal RNA", at positions 354 to 796 of the family's 1533-position model. The record is from RNAcentral.
GUAGGGAAUAUUGGGCAAUGGUCGGAAGACUGACCCAGCCAUGCCGCGUGCAGGAAGACGGCCCUCUGGGUUGUAAACUGCUUUUAUCUGGGAAGAAAAAGGCCAUGCGUGGCAAAUUGCCGGUACCAGAUGAAUAAGCACCGGCUAACUCCGUGCCAGCAGCCGCGGUAAUACGGAGGGUGCGAGCGUUGUCCGGAUUUAUUGGGUUUAAAGGGUGCGUAGGCGGCUGAUUAAGUCAGCGGUGAAAGACUUCGGCUUAACCGGAGCAGUGCCGUUGAUACUGGUUGGCUUGAGUGUCGGAGGGGUACAUGGAAUUGAUGUUGUAGCGGUGAAAUGCAUAGAUACCAUCAGGAACACCGAUAGCGAAGGCAUUGUACUGGCCGACAACUGACGCUGAUGCACGAAAGUGUGGGGAUCGAACAGGAUUAGAAACCCCGGUAGUCC